GAUGAACGCUGGCGGCGUGCCUAAUACAUGCAAGUCGAGCGAACGGACGAGAAGCUUGCUUCUCUGAUGUUAGCGGCGGACGGGUGAGUAACACGUGGAUAACCUACCUAUAAGACUGGGAUAACUUCGGGAAACCGGAGCUAAUACCGGAUAAUAUUUUGAACCGCAUGGUUCAAAAGUGAAAGACGGUCUUGCUGUCACUUAUAGAUGGAUCCGCGCUGCAUUAGCUAGUUGGUAAGGUAACGGCUUACCAAGGCAACGAUGCAUAGCCGACCUGAGAGGGUGAGCGGGCACACUGAAACUGAGACCCGCUCCAGACUCCUACGGGAGGCAGCAGUGGGGAAUGUUCGACAAUGGGCGAAAGCCUGAAGGAGCAACGCCGCGGGAGUGAUGAAGGUCUUAGGAUCGUAAACCUCUGUUAUUGGGAAAGAACAAAUGUGUAAGUACCUGUGCAGAUCUUGACGGUACCUAAUCAGAAGGCCACGGCUAACUACGUG
This 497-nucleotide ribosomal RNA is filed under the name uncultured bacterium. RNAcentral's name for it is "partial 16S ribosomal RNA". It matches the Rfam family "Bacterial small subunit ribosomal RNA", at positions 28 to 507 of the family's 1533-position model. The record is from RNAcentral.